AUUGAACGCUGGCGGCAGGCCUAACACAUGCAAGUCGAACGAGUGGCGGACGGGUGAGUAAUUGCUGGGAAACUGCCUGAUGGAGGGGGAUAACUACUGGAAACGGUAGCUAAUAACGCAUAACAUCAGAUGUGCCCAGAUGGGAUUAGCUAGUUGGUGGGGUAACGGCUCAACAAGGCGACGAUCCAUAGCUGGUCUGAGAGGCUGACCAGCCACACUGGAACUGAGACACGGUCCAGACGCCUACGGGAGGCAGCAGUGGGGAAUAUUGCACAAUGGGCGCAAGCCUGAUGCAGCCAUGCCGCGUGUAUGAAGAAGGCCUUCGGGUUGUAAAGUACUUUCAGCGGGGAAGCGUUACCCGCAGAAGAAGCACCGGCUAACUCCGUGCCAGCAGCCGCGGUAAUUC
Molecule: ribosomal RNA, 406 nt
Filed under: uncultured bacterium
Lineage: Bacteria
Description: partial 16S ribosomal RNA
Rfam family: Bacterial small subunit ribosomal RNA
Source: RNAcentral